RNAcentral lists this unclassified non-coding RNA (200 nucleotides) under soil metagenome. RNAcentral describes it as "partial contains internal transcribed spacer 2 and large subunit ribosomal RNA". The record is from RNAcentral.
UUCGGAAGGCGAAGCUCGUUCGUAAUGCAUUAGCAACUCAAUUUCGAGUGUUCGGAUUGACUCGGCGUAAUAGACUAUUCGCUGAGGACAUCGAGUUAAACUGGUGGCCGAACUUUGAGGUAGAUGCUUCUAAAACCCCUUUAUGAAGUCAAAUUCUUAGAUUAGACCUCAGAUCAGGCAGGAUUACCCGCUGAACUUAA